Long non-coding RNA from Mandrillus leucophaeus (drill), 585 nucleotides. RefSeq lists it as uncharacterized. Lineage: Eukaryota; Metazoa; Chordata; Mammalia; Primates; Cercopithecidae. The record is from RefSeq and is a predicted model, not a curated record. The transcript is spliced from 2 exons.
GCAGGCUUGAUUUGCAUCAAUAAAAGCAGCAAUCUGUGCUGGCCAUGCUAACCCUGUUGGCUGUUAGGGGGUAGGGGCACUCUGUAAAGGGGAGUCACUGGGACAGUGUAGGAUCAGCCUUCAGAGCCUGCUGCCUGACCCUAGAGGAGGAGCCUACACACAUACUGUUGUUUUAGUUCACGAGCAGCGGUCGAAGCCUGUUAGCCAUCCUGGUUACCUGCUUGUGCCAGACAGAACUUCCUGUCCCAGAGAGUGAAGUGAGUUCCAUAAAAGCCCAGUCUCCUCCCUCAUGUGACCUGCACCAGGAACCAGCCAGGGGACUGGAGUCACUGAGUCACAGGAGCCUCUGGAAGGUUCUCCUGACCAAGCCCUUGAGACUAAGCAUCUGGGUGGCCUGAGCUGGAUUGGAUUCAUCACCCAACACCCCAUCAUGGGACCACUGACAGCAAAACCCUCAAAGCUCUGCCCUCUGGGGUGUGAGUAGAAACAGACACAUGUGCUUACCACCGCUAACAUGGGGCGUCAGUAAAUACUAUUUCAAUAUGUGCUUGAUCAUCAUACGACAUUAAAGAUGUUAAAGACGUA